GACAGAGGGUGCAAACGUUGUUCGGAAUUACUGGGCGUAAAGCGUGUGUAGGCGGUCGACUAAGUCGGGUGUGGAAGCCCUGGGCUCAACCCAGGAAGUGCACUCGAAACUGGUCGGCUAGAGUAUCGGAGAGGUUGGUGGAAUUCUCGGUGUAGAGGUGAAAUUCGUAAAUAUCGAGAGGAACACCGGUGGCGAAGGCGGCCAACUGGACGAAUACUGACGCUGAGACACGAAAGCGUGGGGGGCGAACAGG
Molecule: ribosomal RNA, 253 nt
Filed under: uncultured bacterium
Lineage: Bacteria
Description: partial 16S ribosomal RNA
Rfam family: Bacterial small subunit ribosomal RNA
Source: RNAcentral